AUUGAACGCUGGCGGCAGGCCUAACACAUGCAAGUCGAGCGGAUGAAGGGAGCCUGCUCCUGGAUUCAGCGGCGGACGGGUGAGUAAUGCCUAGGAAUCUGCCUGGUAGUGGGGGAUAACGUCCGGAAACGGGCGCUAAUACCGCAUACGUCCUGAGGGAGAAAGUGGGGGAUCUUCGGACCUCACGCUAUCAGAUGAGCCUAGGUCGGAUUAGCUAGUUGGUGGGGUAAAGGCCUACCAAGGCGACGAUCCGUAACUGGUCUGAGAGGAUGAUCAGUCACACUGGAACUGAGACACGGUCCAGACUCCUACGGGAGGCAGCAGUGGGGAAUAUUGGACAAUGGGCGAAAGCCUGAUCCAGCCAUGCCGCGUGUGUGAAGAAGGUCUUCGGAUUGUAAAGCACUUUAAGUUGGGAGGAAGGGCAGUAAGUUAAUACCUCGCUGUUUUGACGUUACCAACAGAAUAAGCACCGGCUAACUUCGUG
This 484-nucleotide ribosomal RNA is filed under the name uncultured bacterium. RNAcentral describes it as "partial 16S ribosomal RNA". It matches the Rfam family "Bacterial small subunit ribosomal RNA", at positions 30 to 507 of the family's 1533-position model. The record is from RNAcentral.